AAAUGUGCCUGAACGUAAAGGGUCACUAUGAUAAAGUGAACAUAGAGAUAUACCAGCCCCU
RNAcentral lists this transfer RNA (61 nucleotides) under Phalaropus tricolor (Wilson's phalarope). RNAcentral's name for it is "partial tRNA-Ile". Lineage: Eukaryota; Metazoa; Chordata; Aves; Charadriiformes; Scolopacidae. The record is from RNAcentral.